RNAcentral lists this ribosomal RNA (479 nucleotides) under uncultured bacterium. RNAcentral's name for it is "bacterial SSU rRNA". It matches the Rfam family "Bacterial small subunit ribosomal RNA", at positions 29 to 526 of the family's 1533-position model. The record is from RNAcentral.
AACGAACGCUGGCGGCAUGCCUUACACAUGCAAGUCGAGCGGCAGCGCGGGGCAACCUGGCGGCGAGCGGCGAACGGGUGAGUAACACAUCGGAACGUGCCCAGACGUGGGGGAUAGCCCGGCGAAAGCCGGAUUAAUACCGCAUGUGAUCUGAGGAUGAAAGUGGGGGACCGCAAGGCCUCACGCGUUUGGAGCGGCCGAUGGCAGAUUAGGUAGUUGGUGGGGUAAAGGCUUACCAAGCCUGCGAUCUGUAGCUGGUCUGAGAGGAUGAUCAGCCACACUGGGACUGAGAGACGGUCCAGACUCCUACGGGAGGCAGCAGCUAAGAAUCUUCCGCAAUGGGCGCAAGCCUGACGGAGCGACGCCGCGUGAACGAUGAAGGCCGCAAGGUUGUAAACCGCUGUCCUUGGUGAAGAAAGAAAUGACGGUAACCAUGGAGGAAGCCACGGCUAACUACGUGCCAGCAGCCGCGGUAAUCU